ACCUGGCUCACGCCGGUUUAAACUCAGAUCAUGUAAAAUUUUAAAGGUCGAACAGACCUAAACCUAUUAGCUUCUACACCAAUAUUAUAUUUUAAUCCAACAUCGAGGUCGCAAUCUUUUUUUUCGAUAAGAACUCUAAAAAAAAUAACGCUGUUAUCCCUAAGGUAAUUUCAUCUUUUAAUCCAAAUCUUGGGAUCACCCACUCAUAAAUUAAUGUUUCCUUUUAAAAAAAGUUUUGCCAAUUUUUUUAUCACCCCAACAAAAUACUUAAAAAUACUUCAUUGAUUCCUAAAACCUUAAAUAUUUUUAAAUAUAAAACUCUAUAGGGUCUUCUCGUCUUCUACAAAAAUUUAAGCUUUUUAACUUAAAAAUAAAAUUCUAAUAAAAUCUUACAGAGACAGAUAUUUUCUCAUCAAACCUUUCAUACAAGCUUCCAUUUAAGAAACUAGUGAUUAUGCUACCUUUGCACAGUCAAAAUACUGCGGCCAUUUAACUCCUCAUUGGGCAGGUAA
This 512-nucleotide ribosomal RNA is filed under the name Trigonopterus sp. 582 MB-2015. RNAcentral's name for it is "partial 16S ribosomal RNA". The record is from RNAcentral. Lineage: Eukaryota; Metazoa; Arthropoda; Insecta; Coleoptera; Curculionidae.